UUAUUUUUAAUUUCUUAAACAUCAACUUUUCACAACAGGUUUACUUCUGCUGCAUUUUUAGGGUUGAAAAGCCACAGGUUAUGAACAAUUGUGUACAUGUAUUAUAUUUCUUAGUUCCUUCCUCACCUGAAUAAUUUGACAGUGUGUGAUGAUGAAUAUGCAUUAUCGGUGCAUAUCACAAUGUGUGGACCUGGAGCUCCUGCAGUUUAGACUCAAAAGCACUUAAAAAAUCUUAUCAGAUGAAGAUCAGUACCAUAUAUUAUUGGAUCGUUGUACAAUACCUGUGAAAAACGCUACAUAAUGUUUGGCCAUGCUCAGGAGGGAGUGACUGAGUUAUGGGGUGCAGAAGAAGCACAAGCCAUCUUGACAUGAUGAGUCAUCCCCAACAGCGCUUGACGAUGGUUUCCUGCUUGAUGAGGAUGAAUCCAUAACUGAGCACUGAGGAUGAUACUCCUCUCAACACUGCAUUGUAUGAAGACAAAGCAAUGCAGUGUGGUUAGUCAUCGUCAACAACAGAACCAGACUCAGCUGACGUUGGAGACUGUCAAGUUGAGAUCACUGUGUCUAUCAGGGUUGAGUGUUACAUACUGAACGAAGUGAUCCAAAGCCAUUUAUUGUCAAUAUGCACGCUAAAGACCUUGGCAUUCUCUGUUUACAUUCAGACCAAAGCAAUGUCAAGACAUAUUUAAGAAUGAAAGUAUGUUUUAAUGAAGCAGGACACACUACUGUGUAUGUUCAUGUAAAGGAAGUUGCACAGGAACAUUUUUUGUGGAAACAAAUUUCUAGUGAUUAUCUUUUUCUCUUAAGCUCACCUGAGCACAAUGUGCUAAUGGUCCGUCAUGCGAUAUGUGUUGUGGGGCGUAAACAUUUGCCUUGUAAACAAUCUAGAGGCCACAUUAACUGUCCAUACAUCAUGAUAUUUGGUCAGAACAAUUUUCCCAAUGAUAUCUUGGACAAGUUCAAAAAUUGUUCCGGUGUAUUGUCCUCAUCAUGAAACUUGGUCAGAUGAUUUGUCCCAAUGAUAUCUUGGGCAAGCUCAAAAAUGGUUCCGGUUGGUUCAAAAACAUGGGCACCAGGGGGCGGGGCAUUUUUCCGUAUAAGUCUAUAUACAUAGCUAUCAAAAAAACCUUUUUAACACUCUAGAGGCCACAUUUAUUGUCCGGUCUUCAUGAAACUUGGUCAUACAAUGUGUCACAAUGAUAUCAAGGUUUAAAAACAUGGCCUCCAG
This is a long non-coding RNA of Dreissena polymorpha, 1228 nucleotides long. RefSeq lists it as uncharacterized. The record is from RefSeq and is a predicted model, not a curated record. The transcript has 3 exons. NCBI's taxonomy places the organism in Eukaryota, Metazoa, Mollusca, Bivalvia, Myida, Dreissenidae.